This is a long non-coding RNA of Hemiscyllium ocellatum (epaulette shark), 1738 nucleotides long. RefSeq lists it as uncharacterized. Lineage: Eukaryota; Metazoa; Chordata; Chondrichthyes; Orectolobiformes; Hemiscylliidae. The transcript has 3 exons. The record is from RefSeq and is a predicted model, not a curated record.
GUAAGUCUGUGAGGUUGCACUUUGUGAAAACUGCCUGCUGUGUAUGUGGAAAGCGAAUUCAGCCAACCAUAACUGAUUUAGGAAGAUACUCCAGUGGAAAAAAAUGUUUCCACUGGGCUUGGAUACAGUGAGGAGUCCUGCUGUCUCAUUGGUGGAUAAUAAGGAACCAAUAAAAAGAACUCUUUGUGGACCGGCCUGCUUUUCUAAGGAUUAAACCUAAGCCCUGCUUCUAUAGUAAAUUUUUAUCUAGGAAAGUUGGAGCUUAUGAAAGAACUUUUGACUGGCAAUAUGUGUAUGUUUAUCUUACAAAUAAUUGGCACGACCUAUUAGAUUGAGCCAUAUCUGGUAUCUGACACACUUUAUCCCAAUGGGAGCAGCUCUGGACUUAGUGUUAAUCAGUAUGAACAUUAUUGUGUCUAAAGAGCAGUAAUCUAAGGCACUGACAUGCUUGACUAAAACUCCUUUAUGAAGUCUUAUGGCUUUGCAUGGAGUCACUUACACAUGGCAUGGUUUUGCUGGAACAUCAGGAGGAUUUUGUACACUGAAGUUUGCCAUAACUGGAAAGAUAUGUUCAAGUAAAUAAAGGUACAGUCUGAUAUUGGAACUUGCCUGCCACUGCUGAGUCCUCUUCAAAUUGUUAACUGGUAACUGCUGAAUGUAAAGGACUGGCCAAACGCUGAGGAGAAUUUUUGUUUGUGGACUGUUAUUGAGGCAACAGGAAACAGUCUGGAGGCCAACUCUUGUGCAGUGCCAAACUACAGGUGCCAACUAUCCAGUAAGGCUUUGAGGCCUUCCCAACUGCCCACUAUAUCACCGCUGUAUAUACAGACUACCCUCUGGAUAGCAUCCCCUCAGGCCAUUUUUAACUCAGCAAUUUGGCAUAUUCUUCUUUUAUAAAGGCUGAUUUUUCACCAUGUGGACCCCAAUCAUCCUUUAUUUUACGAAACUCUUCUUACAAAAAGUCCUAUAAUAUAUUUAAAAAAUUGAUCCCUAGCUUGGAGGUCCUGGGCAGCAGAAGGAAUAGCUACCAUUGGUGUAAUGAUUUGAAAACAAGGAUACUCAAGAGGACAGAAAUGAUGGAGUAUAAAUCUCUCAGGGGUUUGGUGUGCUGAAGAAGUUUACAAGGGAAGGGAAGACUGUGACCACAGAGGGGUUUUAGCAUGAACAUUUUAAGACUAAAGUCUUAACUGGGAGACAAAAAUAGGCCAGGCAAUGCAGGCGUUUUUGCUAACUUGAAGUUGGUGUAAUUAGGACAUUGGCAGCAGAUUUCUGGAUGACCUCAAGUUUAUUUAGGGUUGAAGUGGGAAUGGCCCAGAAUGCAAUAGAAUUGCAGCGACUACAUGAUUGGGUGAGAGCAAUAUUGUGAGGCAGGAGGCCUACUUAAUGAGGUGAGCAUGGGAGAAUAACUGGCAUUGCUCACAGAGGGAAAGUCCAUGACAUUUAGUCAAAAUAUGGGAUAAGUCAACAGAAUCUUUCUUGGACCAUUUAUCGAUUCCUCCGGUAAAUACAAACUCACUCAUAAUAAGGGAGUACAGCACCCAAAUUACAGGGCUGCUAAGUGAAUUUCAUAAUACUUCGCUCGGGGGCUCUCGUCAAACUAUGACCAGAUCUUCAGGUGUAAGAAGAAGUCAUUAUAUAACAUAGAAGUACCUUUUAAAAAAGCAUAUACACAAAGAUGUCUUUUAUGUUGUGCUCUUUACUUUUUGUUCAUUCUAAUUUCACUUUUCAAUGUCAGGAU